Non-coding RNA from Anolis sagrei ordinatus, 1725 nucleotides. Lineage: Eukaryota; Metazoa; Chordata; Lepidosauria; Squamata; Anolidae. The record is from RefSeq and is a predicted model, not a curated record.
UUCCCCUUUUUUUGCUUCCAAACCUCUCCUCCCUUUCUCCUCUUGCAAAGGGAGGUGUAAGAGGGGACCUUUCCUGUUCCUGUUUCCUCUUGCCAAAUAAAGUUUUCUGGGUCUCUCUCUCUCUCUCUCUCUCUCUCUCUCUCUCUCUCUCUUCUCCGUCCCCUCCCAGCUUCCAAGAAGUCAGUAUGCUGUGAAUUCUUCCCUCUAUCUCCCAGGGAAAUCCUGCUGGUCCCUCUUACCUCCUUCUUCUCAAACCUAAAGGAAGGGAUGUUCCAGGAGCAUUCCCUCCUGACAUUUCACCCACACCUAUGGUUAAGUCUCUCUCUCUCACACACGCAGUCCCUCUGGUGCUUUUUUUCUUUCUCUCCUUCCUGGCCCUUUCUCCCUCCCCUUUCCCUGAGCGCAUGUAUGUGUAUGUCUAAAUUAUCCCAUUAACUGCCUUAAAUAUGAAGGGGGCGUCGAGGUCCGGGGGUCCCCUCUGUGCAGAGUAAAGAGCAACUGAUCGAACUGUGGGACCCAUAAUCCACUCCUGCCGCUGAGGACAACUACCUGGGCGAGGUGAACAAGGGAGGUCUGUGGGCUUUCCUGUGUGGAACCCAGAUGGCACAGGAAGAUCCUAGGAGAGCGGGACCGGACCCCAUGCCGCCCAGAAGAGACAGCCCCUCCUAGAGGCUGAUCUGAGCCCCCCACGGGGGAAUGCCAUCGCAGGAGGAGCAACCAGGAUCCCACAGCAACUGCCAUGAAGGAAGGAGGCCCUGCCCGUUCCAGAAGCUGUGCAGAGGGGUGGCCCAAGGGAGACCACUGACGCCCCCACUAGACACUAUCCCUGAGUCUCUGUGAUGAUGGAGAGCCGGACCUGUCUGCGGCCCCCAGGAGGCGCCACGCCAGAAGGAGUAGCAAGGCAGUGCCCCAUCUUCUCCCUCCCCCGAGUACCAAGGGAGGAGCCAGCGCCCCCAGGAGGCCUGAGGACCACUGCCAGAUGGGAGAAUUCCACCAUGUGCCAUCCUUCUCCAUUGGGGAUUCACUCAGGACCCCCGAGUGCCCCCCCGCUGACUGCCAUCACAGGCUCCAUCAUCCCCUGCCUCCACCAUCUUCACCUUCUUACUUCAGUCUCUUUCUCUUUCUCCAACCCAAAGAACACUCCGCCACUGGUCUCUCCCACCCUGCUGGGUCCUGUUGUUGUUGCUUGAGUUGGGCCCCAAAAUAAUCCACAGAAUACAACCUAAUCAGUCUAGAAAGAGGCCCUGGGUGCUUGGGGGGAUUGUCGAGGCUUGAGGAAAUGAGUGUGACCAUUUCCCAGCCUCGAAGGGAGGAUUUGAUGCAGAGCAUCUUCCCCCCCAAGCACUUGUAGUUUGCCAAGGGCCGGACGAUGGAUUCUGUUGCUUCCUGACCCAGCACACAUAACUGGGUUCCUGUUUCCUCUCUGUGAAUUCUCUGGCUUGUGCACUGGACCCUGGCCCCUGAUCAGGGAAAUGCAGUUCCCCAAAGGACAUUGCUCCACUCUCCACCAUUUGCAGUUUCUUUUGCGGACCUUUCUGCCCUCACUGAUUGACUUGAUGCCCUAUCAUCAUGGACUUCUUCCACGAACGCGAAACCAAGCCUCUCGGGGGAGAGUGGCCCCCACCUGUGUGUGUGCGUGCCCUUGCAAAAGGCUCAUACCUCAAGAACUCUGCUGAUUGCCUUUAUCAAAUUGCUGUAUUCUUCUAAUAAACUUUGCUGGGCUGA